AGCGAACGUUUGCGGCGGGCCUAACACAUGCAAGUCGAACGCACUAGCAAUAGUGAGUGGCGCACGGGUGCGUAACACGUGGGUAAUCAACCCUUCAGCCUGGGAUAACGACUCGAAAGGGUCGCUAAUACCGGAUACGGCGCGAGAGGCUUCGGCUUCUCACGAGAAAGCCACGCAAGGGGGCACUGAAGGACGAGCCUGCGGCCCAUCAGCUAGUUGGUGAGGUAAGAGCUCACCAAGGCUAAGACGGGUAGCUGGUCUGAGAGGAUGAUCAGCCACACUGGAACUGAGACACGGUCCAGACUCCUACGGGAGGCAGCAGUGGGGAAUAUUGCGCAAUGGGCGAAAGCCUGACGCAGCCACGCCGCGUGAGCGAUGAAGGCCUGGGUCGUAAAGCUCUGUGGGAGAGACGAAGAAAGACCCGUGAAGAGCGGGCCGUUGACGGUAGUCUCCUUA
This 456-nucleotide ribosomal RNA is filed under the name uncultured bacterium. RNAcentral describes it as "bacterial SSU rRNA". It matches the Rfam family "Bacterial small subunit ribosomal RNA", at positions 29 to 486 of the family's 1533-position model. The record is from RNAcentral.